CGGAGGGGGCAAGCGUUGUCCGGAAUUACUGGGCGUAAAGGGCGCGUAGGCGGCUUGGUACGGCGGUGGUGAAAUCUCCCGGCUCAACUGGGAGGGGUCCAUCGCAACGGCCCGGCUUGAGGAUGGUAGAGGUCAAUGGAAUUCCUGGUGUAGCGGUGAAAUGCGUAGAGAUCAGGAGGAACACCCGUGGCGAAGGCGGUUGACUGGGCCAUUUCUGACGCUGAGGCGCGAAAGCGCGGGGAGUGAACGGGAUUAGAUACCCCGGUAAUCCGCGCCGUAAACGAUGAAAACUAGGUGUCACUGGUAUCGACCCCGGUGGUGCCGCAGCUAACGCGAUAAGUUUUCCGCCUGGGGAGUACGGCCGCAAGGUUG
Molecule: ribosomal RNA, 372 nt
Filed under: uncultured organism
Description: bacterial SSU rRNA
Rfam family: Bacterial small subunit ribosomal RNA
Source: RNAcentral